Molecule: long non-coding RNA, 93 nt
Organism: Maniola jurtina (meadow brown)
Lineage: Eukaryota; Metazoa; Arthropoda; Insecta; Lepidoptera; Nymphalidae
Exons: 3
Source: RefSeq, a predicted model, not a curated record
UGCGGAAAGAUCUGGAAACCCACCACAUUAUUAUCCCACGAGAACCCCUACCAUUACGUGAUUAAUGAAAAGAAGUGACCCCUCUCCAUAAAU